GCCUGGGUGGCUCAGUCGGUUGAGCGUCCGACUUCAGCUCAGGUCAUGAUCUCGUGGUUUGUGAGUUCGAGCCCCACGUCGGGCU
This 85-nucleotide transfer RNA is filed under the name Felis catus (domestic cat). It matches the Rfam family "tRNA". From Rfam's summary of the family: Transfer RNA (tRNA) molecules are approximately 80 nucleotides in length. Their secondary structure includes four short double-helical elements and three loops (D, anti-codon, and T loops). Further hydrogen bonds mediate the characteristic L-shaped molecular structure. tRNAs have two regions of fundamental functional importance: the anti-codon, which is responsible for specific mRNA codon recognition, and the 3' end, to which the tRNAs corresponding amino acid is attached (by aminoacyl-tRNA synthetases). tRNAs cope with the degeneracy of the genetic code in two manners: having more than one tRNA (with a specific anti-codon) for a particular amino acid; and 'wobble' base-pairing, i.e. permitting non-standard base-pairing at the 3rd anti-codon position. The record is from Rfam by way of RNAcentral. Lineage: Eukaryota; Metazoa; Chordata; Mammalia; Carnivora; Felidae.